UACGUAGGUGGCAAGCGUUGUCCGGAAUUAUUGGGCGUAAAGCGCGCGCAGGUGGUUUCUUAAGUCUGAUGUGAAAGCCCACGGCUCAACCGUGGAGGGUCAUUGGAAACUGGGGAACUUGAGUGCAGGAGAAGAAGAGUGGAAUUCCACGUGUAGCGGUGAAAUGCGUAGAGAUGUGGAGGAACACCAGUGGCGAAGGCGGUCUCCUGGGGCAUUCUUGACGCUGAGGCGCGAAAGCUGGGGGGAGCAAACGGG
Molecule: ribosomal RNA, 255 nt
Filed under: uncultured bacterium
Lineage: Bacteria
Description: partial 16S ribosomal RNA
Rfam family: Bacterial small subunit ribosomal RNA
Source: RNAcentral